AGCACAAGACAAUCAAAGAUCCAAUCAAGUUAUCUAUGUGCCUUGUCUAGUGAUGCAGCAAGUUCAGUGCAGCCACCUCAAAUAGAUGCAUCAUCGCCGAAUUAUAUGAAGACCACCACUUCAUCUGAUGCAAAGAAGGAGAGUUUGCAGGUAAGAUAUCAAAAUUAGGAAUCCACUUUUUGUAAUUGUAGCAAUAAGAAUCUUUUAGAGAAAAGGUUUUAAACCAAAUAUUGGCUUUCCUCACAGAAAUCAGUAAGAGCUUUGUCUAGGCGAUCCAGUUUUAAGCCCUCAAAGAGUUUGACAAGAGUGUCUAGUACAAAAUUCAGGAGAUCUUUGAUGAGGAAGUCGUCUGGAGGGUCCGACGUAAAAAAGAAACUGAAGAAGUCAAGAUCAAUCAAACUUGGAAGGCGUUCUUCCGUUGUUUUACCUGAUGAUUCAGAUGCAUCGCCUAAUCAUUUGAAAUCAACUGAAUGUUCUGAUGUAGAGAAUACUUGUUUUCAGGCAAGUUUCCAUAAUUCUGAAUCUUGUUUGAGUAGCAAUG
Molecule: long non-coding RNA, 541 nt
Filed under: Ricinus communis (castor bean)
Lineage: Eukaryota; Viridiplantae; Streptophyta; Magnoliopsida; Malpighiales; Euphorbiaceae
Description: long non-coding RNA (RCOM_LNC002524)
Source: RNAcentral